AGAGUUUGAUCCUGGCUCAGGACGAACGCUGGCGGCGUGCCUAAUACAUGCAAGUAGAACGCUGAAGAAAGGAGCUUGCUUCUUUUGGAUGAGCUGCGAACGGGUGAGUAACGCGUAGGUAACCUGCCUUGUAGCGGGGGAUAACUAUUGGAAACGAUAGCUAAUACCGCAUAACAGCUUUUGACACAUGUUAGAAGCUUGAAAGAUGCAAUUGCAUCACUACGAGAUGGACCUGCGUUGUAUUAGCUAGUAGGUAGGGUAACGGCCUACCUAGGCGACGAUACAUAGCCGACCUGAGAGGGUGAUCGGCCACACUGGGACUGAGACACGGCCCAGACUCCUACGGGAGGCAGCAGUAGGGAAUCUUCGGCAAUGGGGGCAACCCUGACCGAGCAACGCCGCGUGAGUGAAGAAGGUUUUCGGAUCGUAAAGCUCUGUUGUAAGAGAAGAACGUGUGUGAGAGUGGAAAGUUCACACAGUGACGGUAACUUACCAGAAAGGGACGGCUAACUACGUGCCAGCAGCCGCGGUAAUACGUAGGUCCCGAGCGUUGUCCGGAUUUAUUGGGCGUAAAGCGAGCGCAGGCGGUUUAAUAAGUCUGAAGUUAAAGGCAGUGGCUUAACCAUUGUUCGCUUUGGAAACUGUUAAACUUGAGUGCAGAAGGGGAGAGUGGAAUUCCAUGUGCAGCGGUGAAAUGCGUAGAUAUAUGGAGGAACACCGGUGGCGAAAGCGGCUCUCUGGUCUGUAACUGACGCUGAGGCUCGAAAGCGUGGGGAGCAAACAGGAUUAGAUACCCUGGUAGUCCACGCCGUAAACGAUGAGUGCUAGGUGUUAGGCCCUUUCCGGGGCUUAGUGCCGCAGCUAACGCAUUAAGCACUCCGCCUGGGGAGUACGACCGCAAGGUUGAAACUCAAAGGAAUUGACGG
This 926-nucleotide ribosomal RNA is filed under the name uncultured bacterium. RNAcentral's name for it is "bacterial SSU rRNA". It matches the Rfam family "Bacterial small subunit ribosomal RNA", at positions 8 to 916 of the family's 1533-position model. The record is from RNAcentral.